UUUUGUGGUUACUAUUUCUUCAAUGUGAUGCUGUGGAGUCUCCUGUGUCUGCAUAUCUUCUGGGCCUACCUCAUCCUCGGCAUGGCUCAUAAGUUAAUCACAGGGAAGGUAAGACCUGUGGUUUCCUUAUUCUUGUAGAUCUGAUUGGUUGGAUGGUGAGGAGUAACAAUUUAGUCCUAAAUAAUGAAGAUGCUCUUGGUGACCUAUGUUUUAAAAAACAAACAAAAAUAGUAUAGAUCAUGUGGUUAGACAUAACGCAAUAUUAUCAUGUCACUCGUAACGCAAGGGUGGAGAAUUACAUUUCUUGGAACAUUAGAUUUUCUUUCGGGAAAUAUGUCCUCCCCAUUAAAUGGUUUUAUAUCACAAUGCAGUUGGGCUGACAACUGUCCAGAAAAGUAAAGAGUUUCUGGCAAAUGUCCGUUGGCAUUCACAAUAGCAAUUAAUGGUGUUUUAAAGAAUAUUCAGAGCUUGUAGAAUACAGAAGCUUAGUUUUCAAAUGAUCUGAUGUGUUUGGAUUUUUUUUGGGAGGGGGUCUUUUAUCUUCCACUUACCCUUUCCCUUCCAGUUUGUUCCCCCUUUCCGUUUGUGAAGAAAGUUGCAUCCAGUCGUUUAUUUCCUUCCUUUCUUCUUUCACCCUUCCAGUGUUUGUUAUUGUUAUUAUUUUAUUGAGAGGUCCUUAUGGUGGCCAUCUUCUGAAAUACACUAGAUCAGGGGUAGGCAACCUUUGGCACUCCAGAUUUUGUGGACUACAUCCCCCAUAAUACUCUUACACCCAUAAUGCUGGGAAAGCAUCAUGGGAGGUGUAGUCCAAAACAUCUGCAGUGCCGAAGGUUGCCUAUGCCUGCACUAGAUUUUGGGCAAGUUUUUGCUUUUGUAUUGACAUUGGUCUUUCUUGCCAGCUUGAAAAAGAUGAAAGAAGUGACUGCGAUGAGUCUGAUAUUCCACAUUGAGGACGAACGAGAACUUGUUAAGAAUGGGGCAGCAGUUUCCAAUGACUAUUCUGUGCAAAACAAUGAUCACCACAAAGUAGAUUGACCUCUACCUACGAGAUGGUUGAUCCUCACAACCCUUGCUGGAGGAAGAAGUUGUAAGGAACACAUUAUGAGACAUAGUUUUACUCUAAACUUUUUAUUCACACUAAUGUAACCUGUUACAUCAUCACAAGCAAGGACUCUGAAUGACAUUUCAAAGACUUUUUGUUCAAGCAAAUGGAGUCUUUGAAAGGUUGAGGUGAUAAGCUUCUGCUUGAACAAUUUUGAUUAAAAGAAAAUAUUGUGUUCUAAGCAUUUGGUACCAAUAUUCACACACCAACUAGCAAACCCUCAAGACUUUAUGAACUUGCCCACUCUCUAAAAAUGCCUUUCACAGAGGAGAUGAGCAAACCAAAGACCUACCUUUUAGGUAAUAUCUUUUCUAAUUUCCAAAGGUCAUAUGACCUGGAAACGGAAUGACUAUCUGUGCCCG
Molecule: non-coding RNA, 1464 nt
Organism: Pelobates cultripes (western spadefoot toad)
Lineage: Eukaryota; Metazoa; Chordata; Amphibia; Anura; Pelobatidae
Source: the annotation of a GenBank genome assembly